This 253-nucleotide ribosomal RNA is filed under the name uncultured bacterium. Its description in RNAcentral is "partial 16S ribosomal RNA". It matches the Rfam family "Bacterial small subunit ribosomal RNA", at positions 524 to 776 of the family's 1533-position model. The record is from RNAcentral.
UACGUAGGUGGCAAGCGUUGUCCGGAAUUACUGGGCGUAAAGCGCGUGUAGGCGGCCCUGCAAGUCGGAUGUGAAAUCCCACGGCUCAACCGUGGAAGUGCAUUCGAAACUGCAGGGCUAGAGUCCUGGAGAGGAAGGUGGAAUGCUUGGUGUAGAGGUGAAAUUCGUAGAUAUCAAGCGGAACACCGGUGGCGAAGGCGGCCUUCUGGACAGUGACUGACGCUGAGACGCGAAAGCGUGGGGAGCAAACAGG